RNAcentral lists this ribosomal RNA (454 nucleotides) under uncultured bacterium. Its description in RNAcentral is "bacterial SSU rRNA". It matches the Rfam family "Bacterial small subunit ribosomal RNA", at positions 43 to 524 of the family's 1533-position model. The record is from RNAcentral.
CAGGCCUAACACAUGCAAGUCGAACGGGGAUGUAAGCUUCGGUUUAUAUCCCAGUGGCGGACGGGUGAGUAGCACGUGGGAACCUACCUUGUAGAGCGGGAUAACUAUGGGAAACUAUAGCUAAUACCGCAUAUACUCCACCAUAAGUGGAGGAAAGAUUUAUCGCUACAAGAUGGGCCCGCGCCGGAUUAGGUAGUUGGUGGGGUAAAGGCCUACCAAGCCGAUGAUCCGUAGCUGGUUUGAGAGGAUGACCAGCCACACUGGGACUGAGACACGGCCCAGACUCCUACGGGAGGCAGCAGUGGGGAAUCUUGGACAAUGGGGGCAACCCUGAUCCAGCGAUGCCGCGUGAGUGAAGAAGGCCUUCGGGUUGUAAAACUCUUUCACCUGCGAAGAUAAUGACGGUAGCAGGAUAAGAAGCACCGGCAAACUCUGUGCCAGCAGCCGCGGUAAU